Molecule: long non-coding RNA, 1312 nt
Filed under: Naja naja (Indian cobra)
Lineage: Eukaryota; Metazoa; Chordata; Lepidosauria; Squamata; Elapidae
Description: lncRNA (ENSNNAG00000013159.1)
Source: RNAcentral
GCAUUGUUCAUCUUUCCUUAGCUUCGCAGGACCAAGCCAGACAAAGCCGAAAUCUCCCAUGAUACCUUUAAUUAAAUACGUUAUUCUAUUUCAUGCACUCGAGGAAAAUGGGUUCCGCUGGGAACCGGCUGGGACUUUUAAAGCCAACUUCAAGCAGGGGUUUGAAAUCUUAAAAGAGUGCCAAUUCUGAUCAUUUCUCACCGCCUCCCCCUCCCAAAUGCUAAACUGUAACCAACCCGAAGAUGAAUUUGGAUUCAGGCUGCGUGGAGAAACCUAAAAGAGUUCGAGGGAAGGAAAGUCACCUGUCCAGGUGAAAUCGUAGCUGUCUUUUUUAACCAAGCUUAACACCAGACAGUCCAAACUGGGUCAGCGUGAAAAAUCCACAGCGAUUGGAACGGGUUAGAAUUCUAACUGGCGUAUUUACGCAGCACAUUUGAAAUCCGACACAGGGGGGCACAUUCAGUGAAGGAUUGCGAUGCGUCCCGCAUGCCAGCUUGCGAUCCUCCACCUUGAGUGACAGGAGCCAGCAGAGGAAAAGGACACACGGACACAGACACACACACACGCCAAAGGCCUUCCCGGCAAGGGUGGCGUGCUGUGACCCCCAAAAUUGUCCAGCUCUUUCCCUUCGGAAAGGCCGGCGCCCAACGGGUGCGUUUCAUCUCCAGCGCUGCAGCUUCUGUCGCGAAGCGCUUGGCAACAAAAAGGAUCGCCGGUGGAUCCCAAACAUAGCAACGGCGGGGAGGAGGGAUCGAAAGGUCGGAGAAGAGAGCCGGGCGACUGGCGUGAAGGUCACAAAAGCGAAACAACGAAGGAGGGAAGGAGAAAACAGGAGGCUUGUCGGUCCAGGCUUUCGCCUCCUUCCAAGGCACGCGUGGGGAAGGAACGCGCCGAGCGCGCUCUGCACAGGCUCAGAGGACCGGCGGAGCUUUCCUCCAGCUGCAACGGCCCGGGGGAGAGCGGCGGAGGAGAGUCGCCCUAUUCCUGACCUCAUCGCCAAGAGAGGGACGUGUCCGGCUCUGGUGGGCCGGCGCCCGCGCCUCCCUCCGGGACGGGCUUCCCCCGUUGCCUGGCUGCGACGCAGGUUGUAAGCCCCUAACCUGAUGAUAGAAACUCUUGAAAAGAUGGCAACCCCUAGAAUUGUAUUUGCUAAAAACUGGAAGAAUGAUAAAAUACCUAUGCAGGAGGAAGUGAUUAAGAAAAUUGUGGACUGUGCUGAAAUGAGUAAAUUGACAUUUGAAAUUAGAGAACAAGAAGAUAAACAAUUUUACAACAUAUGGGAUUUGUUUUAUCAAUGGUUGGGUAAAAAGAC